This 645-nucleotide ribosomal RNA is filed under the name Triticum aestivum (bread wheat). Its description in RNAcentral is "partial small subunit ribosomal RNA". The record is from RNAcentral. Lineage: Eukaryota; Viridiplantae; Streptophyta; Magnoliopsida; Poales; Poaceae.
GGCGGCAAAUGCACAGUCAAUUGGUCAAAAGUUUGCUCGCCCAUGGAGUAUGGUGGCCUCGGCAUUCUCGACCUCGAGAAAUUCAGUAGGGCUCUGAGACUGAGAUGGCUGUGGCAUUCUUGGAAGAGCCUAGAUCGGCCAUGGGUGGGGAUGGAGGUGCCUUGUGAGGAGAGCGACAAGGCGGCGUUCAGCGCAAUGACAAUGAUCACCAUCGGUGACGGCCGCACGACCACCUUUUGGGGUUGUGUCUGGGCUGGUGCUGAGCCCCUCAAGGCGUCCUUCCCAUGCCUAUUCAAACACUCGAGAAGAAAGAACAGUACUGUACAGGCGGCUCUGCAUGACAAUGCUUGGAUUAAGGACUUGGCGCAUGGCAACGUAAACCCUUUGCUUCAGGAGUUCUUGAACUUAGAGAGGUUGAUCAGAACUGCUAGAACGAGUAUGAAGUCGGGGCAGCCCGACGAGAUCAGAUGGAAAUUCACGGCGAACGGGAUCUACAGCGCGUCAUCAGCAUAUCAGGCACAGCUUCUUGGAUUGAUCCAGGAUCCGUUCAGGAAAACCUUUUGGAGUGCCUGGGCUCCUGGUCGGCUCAAGAUCUUCGCCUGGUUACUGCAUCUUGAUCGGCCAUGGUGCAAUGACAGGCUGUAG